This 253-nucleotide ribosomal RNA is filed under the name uncultured bacterium. Its description in RNAcentral is "partial 16S ribosomal RNA". It matches the Rfam family "Bacterial small subunit ribosomal RNA", at positions 524 to 776 of the family's 1533-position model. The record is from RNAcentral.
UACAGAGGUCUCAAGCGUUGUUCGGAUUCAUUGGGCGUAAAGGGCGCGUAGGCGGCGCGUUAAGUCGGGUGUGAAAUCUCGGGGCUUAACUCCGAAACUGCAUUCGAUACUGCCGUGCUUGAGGACUGGAGAGGAGACUGGAAUUUACGGUGUAGCGGUGAAAUGCGUAGAUAUCGUAAGGAAGACCAGUAGCGAAGGCGGGUCUCUGGACAGUUCCUGACGCUGAGGCACGAAGGUCAGGGGAGCAAACGGG